GACGAACGCUGGCGGCGUGCCUAAUACAUGCAAGUCGAGCGGACGAAUCGAAAGCUUGCUUUUGAUUCGUUAGCGGCGGACGGGUGAGUAACACGUGGGCAACCUGCCCUGUAGACGGGGAUAACACCGAGAAAUCGGUGCUAAUACCGGAUAACACGAAAUGUCGCAUGACGUUUCGUUGAAAGACGGCGCAAGCUGUCGCUACAGGAUGGGCCCGCGGCGCAUUAGCUAGUUGGUGAGGUAACGGCUCACCAAGGCGACGAUGCGUAGCCGACCUGAGAGGGGGAUCGGCCACACUGGGACUGAGACACGGCCCAGACUCCUACGGGAGGCAGCAGUAGGGAAUCUUCCGCAAUGGACGAAAGUCUGACAGAGCAACGCCGCGUGAGCGAAGAAGGCCUUCGGGUCGUAAAGCUCUGUUGUUAGGGAAGAACAAGUAACGCAGUAACUGGCGUUACCGUGACGGUACCUAACGAGAAAGCCACGGCUAACUACGUG
This 498-nucleotide ribosomal RNA is filed under the name uncultured bacterium. Its description in RNAcentral is "partial 16S ribosomal RNA". It matches the Rfam family "Bacterial small subunit ribosomal RNA", at positions 28 to 507 of the family's 1533-position model. The record is from RNAcentral.